Molecule: long non-coding RNA, 686 nt
Organism: Actinia tenebrosa (Australian red waratah sea anemone)
Lineage: Eukaryota; Metazoa; Cnidaria; Anthozoa; Actiniaria; Actiniidae
Source: RefSeq, a predicted model, not a curated record
AAGUAUCAAAUGGUUAAAUCAGUGCUAAAGUUCCUUAUAAUUAGUACAGAUAUAACGCAACCCAAGUUAGUUAAAGUUAGUUUGCUUCAAGGCAACCUUAGAAUGCAGUUUUACAGACAACUUUGUGAUUGACGGUGGGGUCAAGCAUCAAACAAAUAGACAAACAUUCUGACAUAAGAGGAAAUUUGAUGCUCUGAUUGGCUAGCGGUAGCUAAUGAAAGCGUUCUAAAAAUAAAUAAUUCUGAGAAAACAAGACCCUGUAGUGGAGCAGGGUAGACUGUGAUACCUGUGUGAGACAGUUUACGGCUUAGUCUCAUCAUUUUUCAAGAAUCUGAGUCAAAGAGGAGGUUGAACAGAACGCAUGUGCAUGUCAUGGAGAUGAUCGUCAAACAAGUCGUCGUUUGCUAAACGUUUUUGGGUCCAAGGAUAAUCAAGAAUUAGAUUAGAUCCUUCUUCGCCGGUUGGAAUUUACUUCUUUAAACCAUAAUUUCUUGUCAAGACUGCUCAGCUGACCGGCAAAAUUCCUUGGAAUGAUUGUUUGACAUAGAAUGACAUGAGAAAUGCAUGGACGUAAUCCAUAGCUUUAAUAAGAAUAUUAAAUACUCAACUGGAUACUAGUCAAGAGAUAAACUCUAAAGGGAAUGUAGAUGCCAGAGAUUUGUCCAAGUAAAGUAAGGCAUAUUCAA